GGAAUGCUUUACACAUGCAAGUCGAACGGCAGCACGGGGGCAACCCUGGUGGCGAGUGGCGAACGGGUGAGUAAUACAUCGGAACGUGCCCAGUCGUGGGGGAUAACUACGCGAAAGCGUAGCUAAUACCGCAUACGAUCUACGGAUGAAAGCGGGGGAUCGCAAGACCUCGCGCGAUUGGAGCGGCCGAUGGCAGAUUAGGUAGUUGGUGGGGUAAAGGCUCACCAAGCCGACGAUCUGUAGCUGGUCUGAGAGGACGACCAGCCACACUGGGACUGAGACACGGCCCAGACUCCUACGGGAGGCAGCAGUGGGGAAUUUUGGACAAUGGGCGCAAGCCUGAUCCAGCCAUUCCGCGUGCAGGAUGAAGGCCCUCGGGUUGUAAACUGCUUUUGUACGGAACGAAAAGGCUCCCUCUAAUACAGGGGGCUCAUGACGGUACCGUAAGAAUAAGCACCGGCUAACUACGUGCCAGCAGCCGCGGUAAUACGUAGGGUGCGAGCGUUAAUCGGAAUUACUGGGCGUAAAGCGUGCGCAGGCGGUGAUGUAAGACAGUUGUGAAAUCCCCGGGCUCAACCUGGGAACUGCAUCUGUGACUGCAUCGCUGGAGUGCGGCAGAGGGGGAUGGAAUUCCGCGUGUAGCAGUGAAAUGCGUAGAUAUGCGGAGGAACACCGAUGGCGAAGGCAAUCCCCUGGGCCUGCACUGACGCUCAUGCACGAAAGCGUGGGGAGCAAACAGGAUUAGAUACUCUGGUAGUCCACGCCCUAAACGAUGUCAACUGGUUGUUGGGUCUUCACUGACUCAGUAACGAAGCUAACGCGUGAAGUUGACCGCCUGGGGAGUACGG
RNAcentral lists this ribosomal RNA (848 nucleotides) under uncultured bacterium. Its description in RNAcentral is "bacterial SSU rRNA". It matches the Rfam family "Bacterial small subunit ribosomal RNA", at positions 41 to 885 of the family's 1533-position model. The record is from RNAcentral.